Molecule: long non-coding RNA, 1253 nt
Filed under: Physcomitrium patens
Lineage: Eukaryota; Viridiplantae; Streptophyta; Bryopsida; Funariales; Funariaceae
Description: long non-coding RNA (PPAT_LNC003712)
Source: RNAcentral
CGGGUAAUGUAAUCCCAAACUAGAGCCACUUGAACUGAGCUUUGUCUCAAGAUGGUUAGACUUAUUCAACUACCCUCAAAAUUGAGUCAUGGAUAAUGCACUGAUUAUGAAGCUUGGCACUGAAACAGGAGUGACAGCCUACAGUGUAGACUUCCAUGGUCAGCAGGUGACAGUCACAGGAUUAGUCACUCCCGAGGAUGUUUAUCGACACGUCUCUCGAACAGGCAAGAUCACGGCGCUGGUGCCUCCACCUCCACCGCCGCCUCCACCCCCUGAAGAGCCAGCCAAACCUCCGGAGCCUCCCAAAGAAGAGCCCAAGGUAGAAGAGGCCAAACCUGAGGAGCCAAAGAAGGAAGAGGCAGCUGCACCUGCUGCCGAAGAAAAGAAGGAAGAUCCACCCAAAGCAGAGGAGCCCAAGAAAGAGGUAAGUUUCCAAAAUUCCACCAAGGAGAAGAGAACGGAAUACUUGCAACUAGCUUUAUGAACAACUUCGACCAAAUCAGUCGGCAAACUUUUCUUUUGCAAACUCGUGACCAUUGACAUCAGAAUUCAUCUUUGGCAUUCAAUCAUUCUUAAAAAAAAAUCAAAGGCAGUUAUCAACAUGAGAAAGACAGUGAGAGUUGAGAUAGUCCACCAAGGAUUUCACACAAUUGUAAGACAAUGGCUUAGGAUAUAAUACGGGUUACGGGUUAUGACCCACUACUCAAAAAUACAAAUCAAAAGAAUGGCAAGAAACAAGAAACAAUUAAAUCAAUAAUCAAACUCAAGAGUCGACACCAAAAUGUAAAAAAAGAGAAGAAAAAAGAAAAAGAAAAAGAAAAAACUUUGUACGUUUUGUAGAUAUUUAUAGUUGUAGAUUGAAGCUUGAAGAGACUUGCACGUGGGGGUCCUGUGUCGAUGACGUAGGAAGAGAAGAAACCUGAGGCCGCGGCACCACCACCAGCUGAGGAAAAGAAGGGAGACGACAAGAAGGCCGAGGAAGCCAAAACGGAUGAGAAGAAAGAAGAAGCAGCACCGGCACCGGCACCACCCACCGAAACGAAAGAAGAGGCAGCCAAGCCAGCUGAGGAACAACCCAAGGCAGUGGAGGAGAAGAAAGACCCACCGCCACCUCCACCGCCAGCUCCAGCUCCAGCGCCGCCUCCGCCGCGUCCACCGCCCAGUUUCGAAGAUAUGUACCCAGUGACGUUUGUGCUUGGACCCGAUUACACCCGCUACUACUACUACUAAAGGAUUUUUGCAACGCAGGGAGG